Long non-coding RNA from Oxyura jamaicensis (ruddy duck), 1931 nucleotides. RefSeq lists it as uncharacterized. NCBI's taxonomy places the organism in Eukaryota, Metazoa, Chordata, Aves, Anseriformes, Anatidae. The record is from RefSeq and is a predicted model, not a curated record. The transcript is spliced from 2 exons.
ACAAGCUGCAAGGGGAAGAUCCUGCCUCUCUCUUCUCUUGCAUGGCCCCACUCAUCCCUUGCACCAACUUGGGUACUUGCAGAGCAGUUUCUUGAGCUGAAUCAACUUGCUAAAAUGGCAGCUCCAUGGGUUGCUGGGGUGGUUUUCUGGUGAGCGAAGGAGCUGGCACAAGACUUGGCACAAGAUUAAUUGACUAACGUAGGGAGAUAGGAAAGCGUAGCAGGGCCUCUGCUUGCUGGCAGAGGAGGCUGGAGAAGCAAGCCUGACCAAGGAGAGAGCAGGCUGCUGGAGGCAAGCAGGAGGUGCAGAGUCAUCGGAGCUGUUCAGGGUGGUAAAAGAGGUGAAGACCAUUCGCUCUCGUCCAGGCAGACCUCCUUCACACUUCCCACCUCCUUCUCCCAUGGAGAAGAGAGCAAGCCCCAAGCUUUGGCUGCGUCUAGGAGGAUGGGAAGUCUGGUAGACAUCCACUGAGAUGGGGGACGUCAAGGAUGUAGGGAUGCCAUGGACUCCUUCCAAAGGAGAAGAAAGCCAAUGCAUGUUCCCCCAGGGAAUCUCAUGCUUUGCAUCCAGAUGUGGUCUCUGGAGCAGUUCUGCGAGAAGUAUCAUGGAUGCUUGGAGGGAGUUGGGUCGUGGGUUUCUUACUGAGAAUCAAAGGAAGCCUCAUUCAUUGGUUUUCUCCAAUUUCUUUCUUUGUCCAUUCAUUUUCUUUUAAUGUUCCUCUUCUUUCUUUGGGUAUAAUUUGUUCAUUUCAGCUGAGGGAAAUUGGACUCAUGAUUUCAAAAACUUUUUUUUUGUUUGUUUUGUUUUGUUUCAAAAGUUGUUUUUACUUCAGAUAUAGAAUUAAAAUCAAACCUUCUGAAAUCCUCCACAAGAAGAAAUUAUUUUUCUCUCUUCAGUCCUGUGACAAUUCUCAGUUUGGGGACAGUCUGAGGGAAGACUAGAUGGGACCCAAGACCCCCUCUGCUUCAGACACAUGUGGUGGCUUCUGAAGGUUAACUUGGGUCUGACUCCAUGUGAAAUUCAGGAACACCAUUGCUGCUGUAAUUUCUGCACCUGGGAGGCCCUGGGUGCCCAGAACCCUGCCAAGCUAACAGACGAGGACAGUGGCCAAGAGUUGAACCUUGCCUGGCAAGUGCAGCUCCAUCAGGAGCACACUUUGCUGCUGAUGAAGUCCUCCUGAAACUCAGUUGCCUCUGUGGCACACUUUUAUCUAGGUGAAUCAGCAACUUCAGGGGCAAUAGAUGUUUUGUCAUGAUCAGACAUUAAUUAAUUUCUCAUUUGCACAAGACCGGAGGCAGUGAAAACCCUGGACCCAGCAGAGGACUUGCUUUCUGUACUACUUGGUAGCAAUGCUAUGCACUGAGCAUGGAUCCCCAGGCUCUGGGAGGGUGGCAGGUCCCCAGGGGGAUUGCUGCAGGUGGGCUAUGCAAAAAAGCCCUCAUGCAUUAUUUCAGACUAUGGUUGUCCUCAGAGAGUUGAUGACAAGGAAGUAGGCUGUGUUGCCAUUGUGGUUUGAAGCCAGUAUUUGCUAAAACCUGAUGCAAAGCCUGGUAGAGUUAGGCUGAAGGUGUAAGACCUCGGUGGCUUUCACUCAGGUAAAGGUUUUCUUUUGCUUAGGUAAUUCCUGUAUAUCUCUUAAAAGAUCAUUGACAGAGAUGAACAUCCACCUGUUAAAAGAAACUUAACGUUUAACCAGCAGAAAAAUAAAGGUGGAACCUCCAUUCUACCCUUUUUGUAAAGCAUCUCUGAAAAAAAAAAAAAUGUUUAGGAGGUGGGUGGAAUACAUAAGAGAUGUAGUGGAGUUGUAGAGAGUGUAUUUUUAUUCCUGUGUUCUUGCACUAUUUAAUUUGUUUUAGACCUUCUGCGUUUAUGGAUGUUGAGAGUUUGAAAGGGAAGAAGUAUGGUCAGUGCCCUGGGGACUAAUCCAAAAU